GAUGAAGAACGUAGCGAAAUGCGAUAAGUAAUGUGAAUUGCAGAAUUCAGUGAAUCAUCGAAUCUUUGAACGCACAUUGCGCCCGCCAGUAUUCUGGCGGGCAUGCCUGUUCGAGCGUCAUUUCAACCAUCAAGCCCCCGGCUUGUGUUGGGGACCUGCGGCUGCCGCAGGCCCUGAAAACCAGUGGCGGGCUCGCUAGUCACUCCGAGCGUAGUGAUACAUCUCGCUCAGGGCGUGCUGCGGGUUCCGGCCGUUAAAAAGCCUUAUUUACCCAAGGUUGACCUCGGAUCAGGUAGGAAGACCCGCUGAACUUAAGCAUAUCAAUAAGCGGAGGA
Molecule: unclassified non-coding RNA, 335 nt
Filed under: soil metagenome
Description: partial contains 5.8S ribosomal RNA, internal transcribed spacer 2, and large subunit ribosomal RNA
Rfam family: 5.8S ribosomal RNA (bases 1-120)
Source: RNAcentral